Molecule: ribosomal RNA, 513 nt
Filed under: uncultured bacterium
Lineage: Bacteria
Description: partial 16S ribosomal RNA
Rfam family: Bacterial small subunit ribosomal RNA
Source: RNAcentral
AGCGAACGUUAGCGGCGGGCCUAACACAUGCAAGUCGAGCGAGAAAGUGGCUUCGGCCACGAGUAAAGCGGCGGACGGGUGAGUAACACGUAGGUAAUCUUCCCUUGAGCGGGGGACAACGAGCCGAAAGGCUCGCUAAUACCGCAUACGUUUCCAGAGGCCCCGGUCUCUGGAAGGAAAGCUAGGCCGCAAGGUCUGGCACUCGAGGAGGAGCCUGCGUCGCAUCAGCUAGUUGGUGGGGUAACGGCCUACCAAGGCGAAGACGCGUAGCUGGUCUGAGAGGAUGAUCAGCCACACUGGGACUGAGACACGGCCCAGACUCCAACGGGAGGCAGCAGUGGGGAAUAUUGGACAAUGGGCGCAAGCCUGAUCCAGCCACGCCGCGUGAGUGAUGAAGGCCUUCGGGUCGUAAAGCUCUGUGGGGAGGGACGAACCGCUGCACGUUCAUAGCGUGCAGCAUGACGGUACCUCCUUAGCAAGCACCGGCUAACUUCGUGCCAGCCGCCGCAGUAA